ACUGCUUCUCGGCUUUUUGGCUAAGAUCAAGUGUAGUAUCUGUUAUUAUCAGUUUAAAAAUAAGAUCAAUAUACUAUUACUAUAAAAUAUUUUACAACGUAUAUAUGAGGAGUGGGGAUGGAGGCUGGAGUGUCAAACACUAU
Molecule: small nuclear RNA, 143 nt
Filed under: Erinaceus europaeus (western European hedgehog)
Lineage: Eukaryota; Metazoa; Chordata; Mammalia; Eulipotyphla; Erinaceidae
Description: U2 spliceosomal RNA
Rfam family: U2 spliceosomal RNA
About the family: U2 is a small nuclear RNA (snRNA) component of the spliceosome (involved in pre-mRNA splicing). Complementary binding between U2 snRNA (in an area lying towards the 5' end but 3' to hairpin I) and the branchpoint sequence (BPS) of the intron results the bulging out of an unpaired adenosine, on the BPS, which initiates a nucleophilic attack at the intronic 5' splice site, thus starting the first of two transesterification reactions that mediate splicing.
Source: Rfam by way of RNAcentral